UACGUAGGGGGCGAGCGUUGUCCGGAUUUAUUGGGCGUAAAGAGCGUGUAGGCGGCCAGGUAGGUCUGCUGUGAAAACUCGAGGCUCAACCUCGAGACGCCGGUUGAAACCAUCUGGCUAGAGUCCGGAAGAGGAGAGUGGAAUUCCUGGUGUAGCGGUGAAAUGCGCAGAUAUCAGGAAGAACACCCGUGGCUAAGGCGGCUCUCUAGUACGGUACUGACGCUGAGGCGCGAAAGCGUGGGGAGCGAACAGG
This 253-nucleotide ribosomal RNA is filed under the name uncultured bacterium. RNAcentral's name for it is "partial 16S ribosomal RNA". It matches the Rfam family "Bacterial small subunit ribosomal RNA", at positions 524 to 776 of the family's 1533-position model. The record is from RNAcentral.